This 343-nucleotide ribosomal RNA is filed under the name uncultured bacterium. RNAcentral's name for it is "SSU rRNA". It matches the Rfam family "Bacterial small subunit ribosomal RNA", at positions 117 to 464 of the family's 1533-position model. The record is from RNAcentral.
UUGGCCUCUGCCUCGUAGUGGGGGAUAACGUUCCGAAAGGAACGCUAAUACCGCAUACGUCCUACGGGAGAAAGGGGGGGAUCUUCGGACCUCUCGCUAUGAGAUGAGCCCAAGCGGGAUUAGCUAGUUGGUGAGGUAAAGGCUCACCAAGGCUACGAUCCCUAGCUGGUCUGAGAGGAUGAUCAGCCACACUGGAACUGAGACACGGUCCAGACUCCUACGGGAGGCAGCAGUGGGGAAUAUUGGACAAUGGGCGAAAGCCUGAUCCAGCCAUGCCGCGUGUGUGAAGGGGGCCUUCCGGNUGUAAAGCACUUUAAGCGAGGAGGAAGGUUCGUUACUUAAU